UACAGAGGUCUCAAGCGUUGUUCGGAUUCAUUGGGCGUAAAGGGUGCGUAGGCGGCGCGGUAAGUCGGGUGUGAAACCUCCAGGCUCAACCUGGAGUCGCCACUCGAUACUGCUGUGACUAGAGUCCGGUAGGGGAGCGUGGAAUUCCUGGUGUAGCGGUGAAAUGCGCAGAUAUCAGGAGGAACACCGGUGGUGUAAACGGCUUUCUGGACCAUAACUGACGCUGAGGCACGAAAGCGUGGGUAGCAAACAGG
This 254-nucleotide ribosomal RNA is filed under the name uncultured bacterium. RNAcentral's name for it is "partial 16S ribosomal RNA". It matches the Rfam family "Bacterial small subunit ribosomal RNA", at positions 524 to 776 of the family's 1533-position model. The record is from RNAcentral.